GGCGAGGAAUUACGACGGCGUGAGCGCGAGGUAGAGUGAGGGGGCAGGGGGGAAAUGACGAGGAGAGUGUCCUUUAUAUAGGGACGCGAGAGGGUCUUUAAGACGGCGCCCAAAAUCGUGUCUUCAAGGCGGGGUGUAAUGGCGGGCGGGCGAUAGAUUCGCGGCCGGAGGUAGGAGAAGGCUGACAGGUAGGCCCCACCUGACAGCGAUCGUUGGCUAUGGGAGGCGGCUGGCUGGCUGGGCUGGCGGGGCCAGUUCGCUGCGCGGCUGGGCCGCCGCGUGUGCGCGCGCAGGCGAGCACGCGGACUGGGCCGGUUCGACCCAUUCGGCCCGGCCGGGCCGUCUUUCCUUUUUUUUUGUUCUUUUCUUUUCUCCUUUUCUUUUUCUGUUUUUCCUUUAUAACCUUUGAUUUUGAACUCCAAAUCAACUCAAAUAAAUUCUAGAAAAAUCAUAGAAUCAUAUCCUAAUAUGAUUUAACUCUUGGGACUAAAUUCCUUUCAAAAUAAAAUACUUGAAAAUACUUUUGUCUAUAUAAUUGCCUCUAAUGCAAUGUUAUUUAAAAACAUAAUAGUUUUUCAACUCCAAUUUAAAUUCCAAAAAAUUAUGGGGUAGAUUAUCUUAUUGCAAUAAACCCCUUUCUAUUCAAAAACCCCAUGGGUUGGAAAAUUCCAAAAAGAUGCAAAGUAAGAUUAAAAGGUAAAAGGCUUAAUAAAAGGUUUUAAAAUCUAAAUCCUUGGUUUAAAGGUGCUCAAAAUGCAUAAAUGGCAUUAUGCUCAUGAGUGCAAAUGCAUGAUGUAAAGUUUGGAAAAAUUGGGAUGUUACACUCCCUCUCCUCCCUCGCGCA
Molecule: long non-coding RNA, 844 nt
Filed under: Brachypodium distachyon (stiff brome)
Lineage: Eukaryota; Viridiplantae; Streptophyta; Magnoliopsida; Poales; Poaceae
Description: long non-coding RNA (BDIS_LNC005450)
Source: RNAcentral